Molecule: ribosomal RNA, 429 nt
Filed under: Acidobacteriota bacterium
Lineage: Bacteria; Pseudomonadati; Acidobacteriota
Description: Acidobacteria bacterium partial 16S ribosomal RNA
Rfam family: Bacterial small subunit ribosomal RNA
Source: RNAcentral
UGGGGAAUAUUGGACAAUGGGCGCAAGCCUGAUCCAGCAAUGCCGCGUGUGUGAAGAAGGCCUUCGGGUUGUAAAGCACUUUUAUCAGGAGCGAAAUACGAUGGGCUAAUACCCCGUCGGGCUGACGGUACCUGAGGAAUAAGCACCGGCUAACUUCGUGCCAGCAGCCGCGGUAAUACGAAGGGUGCAAGCGUUAAUCGGAAUUACUGGGCGUAAAGCGUGCGUAGGCGGUGAUUUAAGUCUGCUGUGAAAUCCCCGGGCUCAACCUGGGAAUGGCAGUGGAUACUGGAUCGCUAGAGUGUGUUAGAGGAUGGUGGAAUUCCCGGUGUAGCGGUGAAAUGCGUAGAGAUCGGGAGGAACAUCAGUGGCGAAGGCGGCCAUCUGGAUCAACACUGACGCUGAGGCACGAAAGCGUGGGGAGCAAACAGG